This 1180-nucleotide ribosomal RNA is filed under the name uncultured eukaryote. RNAcentral's name for it is "eukaryotic LSU rRNA". The stretch from base 737 to 890 matches the Rfam family "5.8S ribosomal RNA". The record is from RNAcentral.
CCCCCCCCCAUUACCCCCCCCAAAAACCCGCCCCCUCUUCUCCCCCCCCCCCGCGGGUUUUGGGGGCCCGGUUUUUCUUUUAAAAUACCAAAGGGGGGCCCCCGACCCAGGGGUUUUUCCCCGGCCUGGGGAAAAAGGGGGGCCCAGGGGAGGGCCCCAACCCCCAAAUUUAAAUUGGGAGAUUUUAGGCUCCCCCUCCUUUUGGGCCCCCCCCCGGGCUUUUACCCCUUUUUAUGCCUUUCCGGGCUUGGGUUUUUUUGUGGUGGAAAUUUGGGGAGGGGGGAUAACCAAUUUUCCCCCCCAGGAAAACCAGCUUAAGGACCCAUGGAUUUCCGCCCCAAACUUAUUUUAGGGUGACCACUAAUAGGAAUACUCAAAGGCUAUGCCAUCCCAACGCCGUUGGGGAGCUUUUCCCCAUAUGGUUGGACCUGCAGGGCGCCCGCGAAAUUCACUUAGUGAUUCUUUGGUCAUUUAGAGGAAGUAAAAGUCGUAACAAGUUUUCCGUAGGUGAACCUGCGGAAGGAUCAUUAACGAAUCCAAAUCUUACUUGCCUUAGCGGUAACUUGAUGCUGUUCUUCGGGGUCGGCUUCGGUCGUUAAAUCGUCUGUGGGUACGGUGAACUUCGGUUUGCUAGGCGGGCCCCGAAUUAGUUUUUUACCCACACGUUCACUCAAUGCCUUAACGUUUCGAUUCCUCGGACGGACUCGAUCCGAACGAGAGUUGUCUAAAAGCGAACAACUUUAAACGGUGGAUCUCUUGGCUCGUGCAUCGAUGAAGAACGCAGCAAACUGCGAUAAGUAAUGUGAAUUGCAGAAUUUAGUGAAUCAUCGAAUCUUUGAACGCAAAUGGCGCUCUUGGGCAUUCCCAGGAGCACGCCUGUCUGAGCGUCGUUUCUCACAUCCCAACUCUCAGGAGCUGGGGCCAUGAGGUGUCCCUUUGCUGCGAAGCGAACGGUCCCUUGAAGUAUAGCGAUCCCGAGUUGUGCGGAAGCCUUUCUUGGCCCGUGCUUCUCGGUGUGGUAGAAAUAUCUCACCGAGGAUACGUGCUUGGAGAGUGUCGGAUGUCUUCUCAUAGGGACGACUGGAAAGGAGGAUGAAAGCUUUCGGGCAUUCGUUCGACCAAUCAAGACCUCAGAUCAGACGAGACUACCCGCUGAACUUAAGCAGAUCAAUAAGCGGAG